Molecule: ribosomal RNA, 274 nt
Filed under: uncultured bacterium
Lineage: Bacteria
Description: partial 16S ribosomal RNA
Rfam family: Bacterial small subunit ribosomal RNA
Source: RNAcentral
AUACAGAGGGUGCAAGCGUUAAUCGGAAUUACUGGGCGUAAAGCGCGCGUAGGUGGUUAGUUAAGUUGGAUGUGAAAGCCCUGGGCUCAACCUGGGAAUGGCAUUCAAAACUGGCUGACUAGAGUAUGGUAGAGGGAAGGGGAAUUCCAGGUGUAGCGGUGAAAUGCGUAGAUAUCUGGAGGAACAUCAGUGGCGAAGGCGCCUUCCUGGACUAAUACUGACACUGAGGUGCGAAAGCGUGGGUAGCAAACGGGAUUAGAAACCCGAGUAGUCC